GGCGCGCCCCGGGCGGGGCGGGGGCACGGGGGGAACGCGAAGAACCUUACCAAGGCUUGACAUAUACCGGAAAGCAUCAGAGAUGGUGCCCCCCUUGUGGUCGGUAUACAGGUGGUGCAUGGCUGUCGUCAGCUCGUGUCGUGAGAUGUUGGGUUAAGUCCCGCAACGAGCGCAACCCUUGUUCUGUGUUGCCAGCAUGCCUUUCGGGGUGAUGGGGACUCACAGGAGACUGCCGGGGUCAACUCGGAGGAAGGUGGGGACGACGUCAAGUCAUCAUGCCCCUUAUGUCUUGGGCUGCACACGUGCUACAAUGGUUCGGUACAAUGAGCUGCGAUGCCGCGAGGCGGAGCGAAUCUCAAAAAUCCAUCUCAGUUCGGAUUGGGGUCUGCAACUCGACCCCAUGAAGUCGGAGUUGCUAGUAAUCGCA
This 427-nucleotide ribosomal RNA is filed under the name Streptomyces globisporus. Its description in RNAcentral is "bacterial SSU rRNA". It matches the Rfam family "Bacterial small subunit ribosomal RNA", at positions 929 to 1346 of the family's 1533-position model. Lineage: Bacteria; Bacillati; Actinomycetota; Actinomycetes; Kitasatosporales; Streptomycetaceae. The record is from RNAcentral.